AGCGAAUGCUGGCGGUAGGCCUAACACAUGCAAGUCGAACGGCAGCACAGUAAGAGCUUGCUCUUACGGGUGGCGAGUGGCGGACGGGUGAGGUAUACAUCGGAAUCUUCUCUUUCGGGGGGGAUAACGUAGGGAAACUUACGCUAAUACCGCAUACGACGCACGGGUGAAAGCAGGGGAUCUUCGGACCUUGCGCGAUUGAACGAGCCGAUGUCGGACUAGCUAGUUGGCGGGGUCAAGGCCCACCAAGGCGACGAUCCGUAGCUGGUCUGAGAGGAUGGUCGGCGACCCUGGAUCGUAGCCACGGUCCAGACUCCUACGGGAGGCACCAGUCGAGAAUGUUAGGCAGCAGGCGCAAGCCUGGUCCAGCCAGACCGCGUCUGAGGAGAAGGCGUUGCGGGUGUAAAGCCCUUUUGCUGGGAGUGAACAGCAGCAGGCUAAUACCCCGCUGUACUGACGGCACCCAAUGAAUAAGCACCGGCUAACUUCGUG
This 492-nucleotide ribosomal RNA is filed under the name uncultured bacterium. RNAcentral's name for it is "partial 16S ribosomal RNA". It matches the Rfam family "Bacterial small subunit ribosomal RNA", at positions 29 to 507 of the family's 1533-position model. The record is from RNAcentral.